This is a long non-coding RNA of Gasterosteus aculeatus aculeatus (three-spined stickleback), 3598 nucleotides long. The record is from Ensembl. NCBI's taxonomy places the organism in Eukaryota, Metazoa, Chordata, Actinopteri, Perciformes, Gasterosteidae.
AGAAAGCAGAGGUCAACCUCUGUCCUGAUUACCCAGCAGGCGAAACCAAAGAAAGCCUUGAGAAGGAAAGGCAAGCGCUGACAUUAGAGGUGAAGAAGAAGAACAACCAUCUGCUAAGCAACAGUAAAAUGGCGAAAAACCUACGCCUGUGGGAGACGAGAAGUAAUUGAAGAUAUGCCCUUCAUAGCAGAGUUCAAAAACAGAUGGCCAGCCCUCUUUUCUGAGAGUCAGCUAAAUGCAGAGUUCACCCGCAUUACCACAAUCCCCCUGCUGUCAACCUUUAUGGCCCAACGGGACCAUUACUCCAGUCAACUAACGAGGAUUUUCAAAAAGAAGGGAGGAGCAGCAGGACGCACAUCAGCCAGAUCAUGGCAGCCAUGGAUCAGAAUCCAACCAUUGAAGUAAGGCGGGAAUGGAUACUAAAAGCAGUAUGCUUCUACUUAAAUGAAGAUCCUGACAAACUUGUUAAAAUGUACAUGUUUUAGGAUGUUGCUGCAUUGGGAGAAAUGGAGAAAGUGGUUUUGGCCAUCUACGUUGUGGAACAUGAGGGAGCAGAGGCAGCAGAGGAACCUGAGGAUGUUGGCGUCAGCGUUGAAGGCUGUACAGUGCUGGAAGACCUGAGAAAUGUGGCAAAUGGCUGCGCCACGUGCCUGAAACUCAAUACGUUUUAUGGGCAUUGGCUGAACCAACAAUUACCAUUAUUAAUGCAACACACAGGGGUCAGCUGAGGUCACAGGCUACAUGUUUUCUUGUUUCUGCUGAGUCAGGUUCUCAUUACGAGGCUGGGGAGCAUUCAGAGGGCGGGCUGCUUCAUUCAUUUUUGCUUACCUCUUCACUCACUAAAAUCACACACACUUGGGUCAUAGAUCAAACACCUUUUCCAGGUUCGUGGUGUAUUUUUCAGUGAUCAAACAACAAAAGGGAGGGGAGGGUCAUCGUAUGAUGUUGAAAACCUGUGACGUUGACAGCAAAGUAUUCGGAGGGUUAAGUUGGGCCAUUUUCCCAGUGAUUGAGGCUCCACUUUGUACAAUGGGAUUAGCCAGUCUGUAGUAUAUGGGGCGCUGUUUGUAAAAUGCCGCACGUUCUAAAAUCCUGCACAGUUUUGGUACAUUUAGCAUUAUCAUAUGAAUAAAAAGCACAACAAUAUUCAUAUGUCACUUUUUCAAACAUUUAGAGAGAAAUUCAUGCAAUAACUUUUCGAAGGAUACGGUUUGGCAAUAACACAAAGUUGUUAAAUAAUAUAAAUGUUAAAUGUAAAUGUUGGGUUAUUUCUGACAACUUUUAAGAGGGAUCGGAUUAAUCAAUCAGCGAGGAGAUGGGUAUAAAGUAAAAGACAUGUAACUUCCUGUAGCCACUAGGUGGCGCUACGACAACAUGUCUGCAGGCUAUUGAUGUCAUGACAUGUGACAUGUGUAGCAGAUUACAAAAUGUAUGGCCAAUGAAAACAACUUCAAUUUUUACGGCGAAUAGUGUUUUUUUUGCCACUGCGCCACGCUUACCUAGUUCAAUAUUCUUUCAAUCUUUAUAUCAGGGCUCUCAAGUUUUCAAGAAAACUUGGCGUGACAUUUUGUCGGGGCUGGACACUACGGCCAGCUGUAAUACAGGUCAAGUCCCAAAUUAAUUCAGUUCAAAUGCAAGGGUAAAUUCAUUUUUGUAAUUCACAAUUACAUUAUUCGGCCCAAGUCUCAUGUUCAGCUCCAGCACAAACACUAUGUAAUAAGUUACAAAAAAUGAAAACGCUAAAAUAUCUAUGUGAUGGCGGGCGUGGUUUGGCUCGGCUGAGAGGGGGAGUGGCUCAGGGAACGGUGCCAGUUGGAGGAGAAAUUGGCCUCAGCUGCAGGAAAUAAAAGAUCUUGUUAGUCAGAUAUUCCUUUGGUUGUCAAAGCAAAACAGGGACAACCCAUAUGGCCUCCUUUCAGCUCAGAGGCUUCUGUCUGUAUUUAUGUUGUUAUGGAACAUAAAUAGACAUUUUCAUUUAGACAAGGUAACAACAGGCCUUUUUACCUUUUUUUUUUGAGAGAUGGAUUUAAAAGCCCAAAACCUUCUGCUGAACUCGAUGUAACCAAUACUCAGCUUUGGCAGAGACCCAUAAAUGGAUUUUCUGCUUUUCUUUCUGAAAGGAGCGUUUCUGUUUUGGUUGUGGACUCCUUUCUGUGUAUAGAUUUUAGCAGGUAUCAGCACUGAAAGGUCAUGAUGCUCCACUUCUGAAAGAACAUGGUUGAAGUUGAAAAGCGUGAACAAGCCUAAAAUGAUGAAAUUCAUAUUGAGUUUUUUAGUAAUCGCAGGGUGUGUAUUCAGCUUCACAGACCAGAAAUGGAUGUCUCAUUAGUAUCAUUAGUGAUUUGCCAGAUUCACCCUCUUACAUCUUUUUUUUCUAGACAUCUUCUGUCUCGAUCUGUUUGUUCUUGAUGUUGGCUGCUAAAAUGUGUGGACAUUUCUCACAGUGACCGAACCAAAUCAAAUAUUCUUCCUGAUUUUUGCUGUCUCUCUCCACCCUCACCAGGUGAAUAACACGCCAUGAGUCUGCCUGCUUAUUGCGCUUGCUACCAACAUAAAUUGCUCCGUUUCAAUAAUGCUGUGUUUUGUUUGUGUCAUCAACCAAGUAAGAACAAAAGAGCUAUGAGCAAGGAACAGCCAUUUGGCUAAUUCAAACAAUGACGGCAAGUUGAACUGUUUUAGGGUGAUAAGCCACGCCCCCUCCCCGUCGCGUUAAGCGCAGAAUAUGCAAUGCACCCUGACUACAAAUGAUGCCCCACUCCUGCGGCACGUUUAGGCCGCAAAGGCCCGGUCAGUGUUAAUUUCGUCGACGAAAACUAUGACGAAAAUCUUUCGUUAACGAACCUUUUUUCCAUGACUAAGACGUGACGAAAACGAUCUUAAAAAAAUAAAAACUACGACUAAAUCUAUUCUAACUUUCGUUAACGAGACGAGGCGAACAUGUUGAUGGUUGACGAAGUCACAAUGCUUUUCCCCCUAAAUUCGCCCGCACCCAACAGACAACAGACAGGCAAAGUACGGCCCCGUACGCGGUUAUUAACGCGUCAUGAUGACGUCAUCCACGAACCCAGAACGCUCUUAUCGGUGCAGCGGUGGUUCUUGUGCACCGACUACGGACCGCGACGACUAUUUUACGCUUCGGCGAGUUUGAACGUGCGCUUCCUUAGUUUAGCUCAGCUGUCUCUGUUUAGCUGCCUGUUAGCAGGCUGAAGCCGAGCUGCUUCAGAGAAACAUGAAGACCCGUUUAACAGACUGUCGGACCUUUCUGCUCUGUUCUCUGGCGACGGCAGGCAGCGUUUCCUCGGCUGGAUGAGACGCUCCGUUACAGGCUUCUCCAAACACGUCUAACAUAAUAAACUCAUUGCAGGUUCUGAAGCCAAGAAAAUAAUGUAUUUCAACGAUUGUGGGACGUUAAGGGGUCUCUUUAGUUGGGACAGUGGAAACAAUAAAGGACCAUGAAGUGUCAAAAGCAUUGCAAGUAAACAGACAAAGACAACAAAGUGUUGCGUUUAGAUCUCUGGUCCUCAUGAAGUUGUUGCACCUUUGCCAAUAUGUUAAAUUCCCUUGCAAAUAAAUGCUUUGCUAUUUGUUAAAAUCCAAA